UAUUCAAGCUGGGCAAUUGCUAUUCAGCUGUAAAAGGCUGGAAUAGAGGAAAGUCCGAACUCCUCAGAACAAGGUGCCGGGUAACGCCCGGAGUUCCAUCCCGUUUGCGGGGUGGGAUAUGGAAAGCGCCACAGAAAAUAUACCGCCGCUAAUUUAUUUAGUGGUAAGGGUGAAAUGGCAGGGUAAGAGCCUACCGCUUUGGUAGUAAUACCGGAGGUCUCUUUUUAGAGAGUCCCGACUUGUCGGGGUCAAGGCAAGCCCCACCUGGAGCAAGGUCAUGUACAGGGAGUUUUCGGGAAACCGGAACAGGGUUGUUCGCUCUGAGUCUCCCGGGGUAGACCGCAAGAUUCAGCCAGUAAUGGCUGAACGAGACAAAUAAUUGCCGCUCUCAUGAAAAUGGGGGUUACAAGAUUCGGCUUAUAGGCUUGGAUAUAUA
RNAcentral lists this RNase P RNA (436 nucleotides) under Ignavibacteria bacterium GWB2_35_6b. RNAcentral's name for it is "RNase P RNA component class A". It matches the Rfam family "Bacterial RNase P class A". Rfam says of the family: Ribonuclease P (RNase P) is a ubiquitous endoribonuclease, found in archaea, bacteria and eukarya as well as chloroplasts and mitochondria. Its best characterised activity is the generation of mature 5'-ends of tRNAs by cleaving the 5'-leader elements of precursor-tRNAs. Cellular RNase Ps are ribonucleoproteins. Lineage: Bacteria; Pseudomonadati; Ignavibacteriota; Ignavibacteria. The record is from RNAcentral.